UUCCGUGAUCUUGGUUUCCUCAAAUUGU
Molecule: non-coding RNA, 28 nt
Filed under: Rattus norvegicus (Norway rat)
Lineage: Eukaryota; Metazoa; Chordata; Mammalia; Rodentia; Muridae
Source: RNAcentral